AUACGGAGGAUGCAAGCGUUAUCCGGAUUUAUUGGGUUUAAAGGGUGCGUAGGCGGUUUGCUAAGCGGGAGGUGAAAUGCCGGCGCUCAACGUCGGAAGUGCCUCCCGAACUGGUGGACUUGAAUGACUCUGCCGUGGGAGGCAUGUGUAGUGUAGCGGUGAAAUGCUUAGAGAUUACACAGAACACCGAUUGCGAAGGCAUCUCACGAAUGGUUGAUUGACGCUGAGGCACGAAAGCGUGGGGAUCAAACAGGAUUAGAUACCCUGGUAGUCUACGCAGUAAACGAUGAUGGCUAACCGCUGGGCUUAUCAGUUCAGUGGCCAAGCGAAAGCGAUAAGCCUUCCACCUGGGGAGUAAGAUCGCAAGGUUUAAACUCAAAGGAAUUAACGGGG
RNAcentral lists this ribosomal RNA (393 nucleotides) under uncultured bacterium. Its description in RNAcentral is "partial 16S ribosomal RNA". It matches the Rfam family "Bacterial small subunit ribosomal RNA", at positions 523 to 918 of the family's 1533-position model. The record is from RNAcentral.